UCUAUGCCUGCGCCCAUCCUAAGCCAUU
RNAcentral lists this non-coding RNA (28 nucleotides) under Rattus norvegicus (Norway rat). The record is from RNAcentral. Lineage: Eukaryota; Metazoa; Chordata; Mammalia; Rodentia; Muridae.